RNAcentral lists this transfer RNA (55 nucleotides) under Ovis aries (sheep). It matches the Rfam family "tRNA", at positions 10 to 63 of the family's 71-position model. Rfam says of the family: Transfer RNA (tRNA) molecules are approximately 80 nucleotides in length. Their secondary structure includes four short double-helical elements and three loops (D, anti-codon, and T loops). The record is from Rfam by way of RNAcentral. Lineage: Eukaryota; Metazoa; Chordata; Mammalia; Artiodactyla; Bovidae.
GCUCAGAAGGUAAAGCGUCUGUCUACAAUGCAGGAGACCCAGGUUCAAUCCCUGG